GAGUUGUUAGAUUAAUGGUAAAUCGUAGAUCUUACACGUCUUAGUUAAUGGUUCGAAUCCAUUACGACUCA
This is a transfer RNA of 71 nucleotides. It matches the Rfam family "tRNA". Rfam says of the family: Transfer RNA (tRNA) molecules are approximately 80 nucleotides in length. Their secondary structure includes four short double-helical elements and three loops (D, anti-codon, and T loops). Further hydrogen bonds mediate the characteristic L-shaped molecular structure. tRNAs have two regions of fundamental functional importance: the anti-codon, which is responsible for specific mRNA codon recognition, and the 3' end, to which the tRNAs corresponding amino acid is attached (by aminoacyl-tRNA synthetases). tRNAs cope with the degeneracy of the genetic code in two manners: having more than one tRNA (with a specific anti-codon) for a particular amino acid; and 'wobble' base-pairing, i.e. permitting non-standard base-pairing at the 3rd anti-codon position. The record is from Rfam.